UCAGAAGAAAUCAAAACUUGAUGAUAUGCCUGCCGGAUUCUUGUCACAUUUUACGAGCUCUUUCAAACAAUUGGAUGGAUUAUUGACAGCUGAAGCAUCUGCCUGAUCUACAAUUGAUCAUUUUGACAGGACGAAGUGAGUGAAAACCUCUAACCACACCGGAGGGUGGAUAUUUUUAGUGGGGGCGGCGAAGUAG
This is a non-coding RNA of Caenorhabditis elegans, 196 nucleotides long. The record is from Ensembl. NCBI's taxonomy places the organism in Eukaryota, Metazoa, Nematoda, Chromadorea, Rhabditida, Rhabditidae.